GGUAUCGUUGAGUUUGAAAUUGUGGCCCGGCCUGGGGCUGACUGGCUGGCUCAUUUGGGCCGGUCAGUUGGCCCUUUGGCCCUUUUUUGUCCAGUGGGGCCCACGAGCCCUUUGGCCUGACCCUCGGUUGGAGACGAUUUUCGGGCUAUUUUUGGCCUUCUAGCCCUCUGGACCCUUCAGUUAGAGAUGUUCUUAGUUUCCACCCUAGUCCCAAGUCCAGGUAUCCACUUUCCAAAUUAAUCUCACACUCACUCCCACCUAUCCACCAUCCGUCAUUCCCUCGACUCUGACGAGAUCUAAGAGAACCAGCCCAUCAUCGUCGCCGUGACCAACACAACGGCACCACCUAUCCAACCAUCCUCCUCGACGACAUCCCACUCCUAGGACCCAGAGAACCCAGAUCCUAGAUCCCAGAACCUCAAUUCUCUCAUCUUCGACAACACCACCGACGUCGAGGACACUGCUACCAGCCUAGAUUCUUUUUUUUGGUCGGCUACCUAAGUGAACCAGAGAAGUGGGGCUACUCUGCUAAUUGGGAGAAAGUACUAGUCUUCUUCUUUGGAACCCAACAUAUGUAAGUACUUAAUGCUUUCUUGAUAUUUUUCUAUAGAUUGCCCUUGAAAAAUAGGGAUGGCACCACUCUGCUGAUUUGUUGUUAUUAGUUAUGGCUCUUAUUGCGGAUGUCAUGUUUAUGUUAUUUUGGAUUAUUUGAUUUUAGACUUUGAAAUUUGGAUGUCUUGGACUCUCGACUAUUUUGUAUGUUGGUUUGAUCUUUAGAUGUCUCUCGGAUGUUAUUUUGAAUGUCUCGGAUUUAAUGUUUCGAACGAUGUUGGACGAUGUAAUGUUGUUAUUUUGGAUGUAUUGUUAAUCUAUGGACUUGGAUGUUGGACUUUGUAA
Molecule: long non-coding RNA, 897 nt
Organism: Pyrus x bretschneideri (Chinese white pear)
Lineage: Eukaryota; Viridiplantae; Streptophyta; Magnoliopsida; Rosales; Rosaceae
Exons: 2
Source: RefSeq, a predicted model, not a curated record